Long non-coding RNA from Helianthus annuus (common sunflower), 1125 nucleotides. RefSeq lists it as uncharacterized. Lineage: Eukaryota; Viridiplantae; Streptophyta; Magnoliopsida; Asterales; Asteraceae. The record is from RefSeq and is a predicted model, not a curated record. The transcript is spliced from 2 exons.
AUCAUCUCUGUUCAUCUUCCACAUUCACUCCGAUCUAGUUUCACCCUUUGUAUUUCUUGUUGUUGUAUUGUACUGAUCUGCUGGUGUUGUUGGUGAGAUCUCAACUGUGAGAUCAAGCUUUGUAGAUCAGGUUGUUUCUUUCUGUAUUGUUCUUGUUUGUAUUGUAUUCAUAUAGAUCAACUGAUUAAAUCAGUUGAUCUGAACAUCUGUUCAUAUAGAUCUUACAUUUAGUAAGAUCAUUGGGUAUUGGGGGGUGUUUUCUGGUUUGGGUGAAUAAUAAGAUUUUGGUCACUGUUUUGUCGCUAUUGCUUUGUUCUUGUUCUGUGUGAUUGAUACCAUAAGUUUUCUACAUGGUAUCAGAGCUAAACAAGCUCUUGGUUGAUUGAUUGUUCUUCCGCUGUUUCAUAUCUCUUUUGUGUUUUUUCUUGUAGGUUGUCUUAGGGUUUCUGAUCUUGAGAAACCCUAGUUGGUUGAUCUUGGGGGUGAUAUUGAGUUAGGGUUUGUGAAACCCUAAUCGGAGGAUUUGCUUGGGUCCUUCAUUGGAAUCUGUGAGAAGACUGCGUUGGUCUCUGAAACCCUAGAAGGAUUCAGAGCAAACCAACCAGUGUUAGUUCAUUGCUGUUGGUGAUUGACUUGUAACCCUAGAAGGUUACAGUUGUCAUCUUGUGUGAAGACUUGCACCCACUAUUGAUAUAGUUGGAGGGCCUUAUUGCAACUUUCAUUGAGUCGGUGUAUAUUGGGAGAUAGUUCAAGGGUGCUGGAUGUAACAUUAGAUAUUUGUGGUAUAUAAUGAGAGUUUCUCUCUCAUUGUUCUAGAUCCAUCAUCUCUGUUCAUCUUCCACAUUCACUCCGAUCUAGUUUCACCCUUUGUAUUUCUUGUUGUUGUAUUGUACUGAUCUGCUGGUGUUGUUGGUGAGAUCUCAACUGUGAGAUCAAGCUUUGUAGAUCAGGUUGUUUCUUUCUGUAUUGUUCUUGUUUGUAUUGUAUUCAUAUAGAUCAACUGAUUAAAUCAGUUGAUCUGAACAUCUGUUCAUAUAGAUCUUACAUUUAGUAAGAUCAUUGGGUAUUGGGGGGUGUUUUCUGGUUUGGGUGAAUAAUAAGAUUUUGGUCACUGUUUUGUCGCUA